This 1083-nucleotide ribosomal RNA is filed under the name fungal endophyte. Its description in RNAcentral is "eukaryotic LSU rRNA". The stretch from base 498 to 1083 matches the Rfam family "Eukaryotic large subunit ribosomal RNA", at positions 1 to 598 of the family's 3401-position model. Lineage: Eukaryota; Fungi. The record is from RNAcentral.
CGCUCUAUAACCCUUUGUGAAAUACCUACAACUGUUGCUUCGGCGGGUAGGCCGUCCCCUGAAAAGGACGCCUCCCGGCCCGGAACGGACCCCCCGCGGGACCGGACCCGGCGCCCGCCGGAGGAUAACCAAACUCUAUUGUAACGACGUUUCUUCUGAGUGGCAUAAGCAAAAUAAUCAAAACUUUUAACAACGGAUCUCUUGGUUCUGGCAUCGAUGAAGAACGCAGCGAAAUGCGAUAAGUAAUGUGAAUUGCAGAAUUCAGUGAAUCAUCGAAUCUUUGAACGCACAUUGCGCCCGCCAGCAUUCUGGCGGGCAUGCCUGUUCGAGCGUCAUUUCAACCCUCAAGCUCUGCUUGGUGUUGGGGCUCUACGGUCGACGUAGGCCCUCAAAGGUAGUGGCGGACCCUCCCGGAGCCUCCUUUGCGUAGUAACAUUUCGUCUCGCACUGGGAUCCGGAGGGACUCUUGCCGUAAAACCCCCCAAUUUUCCAAAGGUUGACCUCGGAUCAGGUAGGAACACCCGCUGAACUUAAGCAUAUCAAUAAGCGGAGGAAAAGAAACCAACAGGGAUUGCCCCAGUAACGGCGAGUGAAGCGGCAACAGCUCAAAUUUGAAAUCUGGCCCCAGGCCCGAGUUGUAAUUUGCAGAGGAUGCUUUUGGCGCGGUGCCUUCCGAGUUCCCUGGAACGGGACGCCAUAGAGGGUGAGAGCCCCGUACGGUUGGACACCAAGUCUUUGUAAAGCUCCUUCGACGAGUCGAGUAGUUUGGGAAUGCUGCUCAAAAUGGGAGGUAUAUUUCUUCUAAAGCUAAAUAUUGGCCAGAGACCGAUAGCGCACAAGUAGAGUGAUCGAAAGAUGAAAAGCACUUUGAAAAGAGGGUUAAACAGCACGUGAAAUUGUUAAAAGGGAAGCGCUUAUGACCAGACUUGCGCCCGGUGAAUCACCCAGCUCUCGCGGCUGGGGCACUUUGCCGGCUCAGGCCAGCAUCAGCUCGCCGUCGGGGACAAAAGCUUCGGGAACGUAGCUCUCUUCGGGGAGUGUUAUAGCCCGUUGCACAAUACCCUUCGGCGGGCUGAGGUACGC